RNAcentral lists this long non-coding RNA (766 nucleotides) under Heterocephalus glaber (naked mole-rat). RNAcentral's name for it is "lncRNA (ENSHGLG00000038298.1)". The record is from RNAcentral. Lineage: Eukaryota; Metazoa; Chordata; Mammalia; Rodentia; Bathyergidae.
CACGAACUCGGGUCGGUCGUUCAGCAGAGCGUCCAUGAGCGACGCCUCCAAGUGGAAGGACUGCGGGGAGGAGUGGGGCACGGGAUGAGCAGGGACAGAGGCCAGGGAGGCGCCGAGGUGGAGGCAGAGGACGAGGGCUGAGCAUACAUGCUCACUGCUCCACACAGCGCCUGGUGCACCCCAGAAGCCUAAGGAGUGAACCCCAUCCAUCCUCUGCUACCUGAAAGGCCAUGUGGCCAGCGCCUGAGUCCCCAGAGACUCACAGCCCCACCCCUGAACCACAGCUUACAGAGCUGCUGCGCUUUCUCCUGGGAGCCUGCUGGGUUAACUUCUGAAAAGCAAACCGGAUUUGCCCACUGGCUGUCACCCUCCGUUUGAAGAUGUGUCCCCAAGGAGACAGAAUCACACAAGAGCCCCCCUUCAUGGGGUCCCCACUGAGGACCAGGCACUGCCACUGGGGCCCACGAUGCUCCUGCUAGGAUCUUGCUAUGUAGCCCAGGCUGGCUUUGGAUUCACGGUGAUUCUCCUGCCUCAGCCUCCCAAGUACUGGGACAAAGGUGUGUGGCACCAUGCUGGCUAAGGAAUAUCAUCAUCGCGUGUGUGUGUGUGUGUGUGUGUGUGUGUGUGUGUGUGUGUUGCUGGGAACAGAGCCCAGGCCUUCAUACAUGCAAGGCAAGGGCUCUUUCACUGAGCCACAUCUGAGCCCCUCAUCAAUGAUUAAAAGUGGCAGCGAGACAGAGAAUUUGGACCUGAAGGUGCUUGUGAG